CACAAGCGGAGGAGCAUGUGGUUAAUUCGAUGAUACGCGAGGAACCUUACCUGGGCGUGAACGUAAGAUGACUGUAGGUGAAAGCUUACAUCUCUUCGGAGCAUUUUACGAGGUGCUGCAUGGUUGUCGUCAGCUCGUGCCGUGAGGUGUCGGGUUAAGUCCCAUAACGAGCGCAACCCCUACCUUUAGUUGCCAUCAGGUAAUGCUGGGGACUCUAAAGGAACUGCCUACGCAAGUAGUGAGGAAGGCGGGGAUGACGUCAAAUCAGCACGGCCCUUACGUCCAGGGCUACACACGUGCUACAAUGGCCGAUACAGAGGGCAGCUACCUGGUGACAGGAUGCAAAUCUCCAAAGUCGGUCUCAGUUCGGAUCGGAGUCUGCAACCCGACUCCGUGAAGUUGGAUUCGCUAGUAAUCGCGCAUCAGCCAUGGCGCGGUGAAUACGUUCCCGGGCCUU
RNAcentral lists this ribosomal RNA (457 nucleotides) under uncultured Sphingobacteriales bacterium. RNAcentral describes it as "bacterial SSU rRNA". It matches the Rfam family "Bacterial small subunit ribosomal RNA", at positions 924 to 1382 of the family's 1533-position model. Lineage: Bacteria; Pseudomonadati; Bacteroidota; Sphingobacteriia; Sphingobacteriales. The record is from RNAcentral.